UGCCCAUCCAAGGGGUAGCAGCCUUGGUUAUCUCCUUCAGACAGGAGACCACCACAAUCCUAGAACAAUAAAAACAGAUGGAAACGAUGAAUUGACAUAAGACGACUCAGAUACACAGCUUUUCAAAAGGGCAGAGGGUUGCCAGGUUUGAUAGCUGAGGAUUUAAGAGGAAAGAGCACCUUCCAGCUUACGAACCUUCAACAUCAGCACUGUGCUUUGUGACUGGACUCCUGAUCCAGCUCUAUCGCUGUCUCAUGGACUCCUCCUCCUAGCUGCCACACUGAGCUUUCUGCCACAUCUUUAAUAAGCAACAUUCUUUUAUAAGCCCAGACUAUCUUAACACCCUACUUUGCCUAGAGAAUGCCUACUCAUUCUUCAAAGUGAAACUCGAAUGUCACCUCUUGUGAAAAAUCUUUCCUAAAUCUUUUUCUGUUGUAUUCCAAGCAAAAUAAGGAACUUCUUCCACUCCCAUAGGAUUGUAUUAUGCGUCCCCUAUGACACUGAACACAAUGUACUUGAUUUAGUGGUUUAUGUCAACCUCUAUGUCUAAACUGCGAUGGCUCUUCCCUCCUCCCAUGAAGCCAUAGUCUGAGGUAGUGUUUCCUAGGAAACAAGUUCUGAAACAGAUUUGCACACAGUUAGUUAUGAAGACGUGUCCUUGCAAUCAACACCUGUGGGAAAGUAUAGGAAGUCCUUAUACUUCUUAAACUUCCUAUUCCUAUUGUGGAUACUCUAUCUACAGUAUUCACAAUACUAAGCUUCCUUGCCCAGGGACUACAAAGUACAUAACACAAAGUAAAUAAUUGGUAAUCAGCUGUAGAAGGCCUUUGGCCAAAGCUGAAUGAAGAAUCCAAAUGUUAAUCAUUUUGCAGCAGGCACUGUUUGAGGAUUUUUUUUUUCCAUAAAAAAUGUUUUAGGCUACUCCAGUGCAAGUAUGCUUAAAGUGAGAAUAUGUAAGAGUAGCAGAGAAAAGCAAUUUCUGUUGCUAAAAGUCACAGCUUAUCAACUCUUCUGAAAUGUUGGCAACACAAUUGUGAUUAAAAACAACACACUCAGUGAAACUAAAAAUUAAAUCACAAAUAAACUUUGUAUAGAAAACUCCCAAAUGCAACUGUUUUAAAGUCAGGGAAACAAUGGGGUAGUAUUUUUUUUCUAUCCUUGGAUAUUUUAUAAUAACUUGUAACUCACAGGCAGAAGAGCUAAAGAAUCACUUGAAUAUAAAUGAAGUAUACAGGUAAAAUAAACAUGAACUACUAAUGAGAUGAUAGAGAAAUAAGAACAUUACCAUUAUUCACAUAUUAUAUAGAUGUAUGUAAGUCUUCAAUUUUGAGUAUUUAAAAUUAAGAUAUGUAGUCUUCAUUUACAUAAGUAAUUGAUGAUUCAGAAGACUAUAAAGUGAUUACCGCCAUUUAAAAAUGUUAACAUUUUUAUUUUAUAAAAUUAAAAUGUGAUCUUAUAUUCAUCUUUAUCUUUUUAAGGUACAAAAACAAUAUUGUAAAACAGGAAAGACUCUUGGAAAGAUAAGGAGUGACAGCUCACGAUCUAGAUACAGUUUUGGUCUUGUUGAGAUAAGGACAAACAGAAAAAAAGAGUUAGAAGACAUUCAGUCUUCAAAAGUCUUUACAGAUUACACUAGCACAGGAAUUUUCACCUCCUUUCACUUGGCCAUUCACCCACAAUCCUUUCUUCAUGGAAACAAUUUAUCAAAAAAAAAAAACAAAAAAAAAAAACCACAUACAAAAGAGCCCCAGAUCACCUCAGGCUGAAGGGCAUGAAGGAUGGAACCUGUGGGGGAUGCACACUGUACUAUCUGAAAACCUUCAUUCUAGUCCAACUGCUGGAUUCAAAAAUCUAAGGUAUAGAUAGGGAACACAGCUAGUGACAGAUUGGGAGUUAGAAUACAGGUCUCCUAAUUCUCUGUCCAAUGGAGACUCUCUCUGCUAUAUCACAUUAUACCGAUUCUAUACAUCAGCAGACACACUCUGUAUUUCAAAUAGAAAGAAGACAUUCAGGCUUACUAAAUGCAAGUUACAUGCAAAUAAACAGAGAAAACGUAUUAAGAUCUUAAGACAGUUUUUCUGCUAAACUCCUACAGGAUAAGAGAGAAAAUUCAUUGCUGGAUCCCAAGCAUCUACAACAGUAUGCUUGUAUAAAAUUAAUGCUCCACAAAUAUCAGUUAGUUAAUGAAUUAAUAUGUUCCAGGUAAGUACUUGUUAUAAAAUAAGUUUUUGUUUUUCUAUUUAACCAUGCAAAACCAUUCUCUAGUCUAGAGCUUCUCGAUUGGCAGGUUAACAGAAAAUGUACUUCAGGUGGGUUCCAGGUGCACCAUAUUUGGGAGGAUUCAGGGGGACCAGAGGUGUCCAGAGUUCCUGAGUGGUUGCAUUGGGACAGGAGAGAUCUCAUCCACUUACUCCAGCGUGCUGAAUGAAUGCCAUCAUUUUCCACGUGAACUGUGAUGUGAAAAAGGUUGGGAGGUACAGCUCAAGUGUGGGUAGGUGUUCCCAACAGAAUGGCAAUGUGGCACAGUAAAAAAGGAGCAGGGCUAUGACUCAGCCAAUUUUUCUUGAAAUGCCAGUGCCAUUACUUGAACUUAAAAUACUGCUAUUGCCUAACUUAAUUAUGGAAUACAAACUUAUUCUAUACCUUGAUUCUGGUAAUCAAGAAUGCUUUCCAAAUGAUGGCAGUACUUUUGGGUUUCCUCUGCAGGUGAAGAUAUCAUUUUCCCUUGGUAGUUCUAAUGACCCUAUACUACAUAGCCUUUCAACAGCUUCUGCCUUCCCGAGAGACAUGCACUUUUUAUUAACAUUUCUCUUGCUCUUUCUAAUGUCCUUUGCCUAUAUCUUAAUCUAAGUCGAUAUUUGUAUCUGCAUGUAAUGUGUGUUUUGAAACAGACUGAAAAUAAUAAUUGCAAGCUUAAUAGCAUCCCACCCCUAUGACUGUGAUUUUUCAAUUAGAAUCAAAAUUCUUCUUUUACAGAUGAAAUUUUGCCUGAUAGAUAGGAAAGGUUUUGAAACAAUGUAUUAGAUAGCAUCAAAUCUCUAAACGGUAUUUUCUUUUGAUGUCAUGACAUACCCCCCAACCCCUGAAAAUGACAGCUAUGAAACACAUACCAGAAAAUUCAGUAAAAUAAUUUCCAUUUUUUUUUUUUUUUGUUAAUCUUUUGGAGUAAAACUUUUUGCCUCCAGUGCCUAUAUUGCCUUAGCUUUCUUACAAACCCCUUUAAAAAAAAACUUUUCAUAGGCCUCUCUAAAGAGUAGAGCUGGCUUCUCACUUAUUCUAAUAUUGCAGAAAGCCUAAAGAGUGGAAAAAAGUGUUGAACACUCUGGCAGGUACAGGGGAAGAGAGAGAAGACAGAGAUGCCAUCCCUGCCCUCAAAGGUUCCCACUGCAAUGAGACAGAUGGACACAACUAUUAAUAUCUGAUUCUAGGCAAAGGGCAUGACAAAUUGCCAUCAAUGAGGCACGAGUAAUGAAUGAUGGGAACACAGAGAAGAGGGCAAUUACUUACGAAUGGUGUGAGCAGGCAGUAUGGUAUGGUGGUGGUCCGUGACUCUAAGACUCUAUUGCAGUUGAGAUUUGAUUUGGGACUUAAAAAAAAAACUUACUUUAACCCACUUUGGAAUGAAUGUUGUGUUACAACAAGAGUCUUCAAUAUCUAAUAUUCUUUGAGAGGAGUCACAGAUAAGCUUGCACUGAAACAAAUUCAUUUCACAGGAAGAAUAUUGGAACAAAAUCUGUGAAUUGAGCAGUGGAAGUUGAUGACUGUGUGUCAGACCUUCAUGUCAUGGGCAUAAUGAACAGCUCACAGAAGACUAAGAUUAUCGUGAGAUGGAAAUAAAAGAAUUGAGUUCCUUUCCUUCCAAGACAAGUGAAGGGGAACUCAAUAUUGCCAGACAUGAACAUCCGUGUUUUAACUAGCACAGAGAAAGCCUAUGUGUUACUAUUAAUAUAGAAUUUAGAAAAACAAUUUUUUUCUUAUAAAAUUUUCUGUUUGUAUUUGAACUAUACAAACUGGCUUUAAAAUUAAGAAAUAUGCCCUAAAACCGUUAAGGAAGAAGCCAGCAGAAAGAACAAAAGGAUCAGGGAAAUUAGGCUGUUCUGUUCCAUUUUGCCAUGAGCAAUAAAUCACAUUCUUUACAAAGUAAAUUAUGUCCUGUUUUUUAUUCUUAAGCACUAGGGUUAGGACUGUGAUCUAAGCUUGUGAGUAAAUCAGAAAAGAAAAUCUCAAUUAUAGAACAUUUAGUUUAUCUGUACCUUAGUGCCCAGGGAGGUAAUAUUUUACCUUAAAAUGUGUAACCCAUGUGGCAUGCUAGGUCUUCCAAAACGCUUCUCUUAAAUGUCUUCUAAUCCUUAAAAAAUGUGGGGCAGGGGAAAGGAGAGUGAGAGUUGAUGAUUGUGUGUCACACCUUUCAUGCCAUGGGCAUACUGAACACAUUAGAGAAGACUAAGACCAUCGUGAGAGGGAAAGAAAAGAAUUGAGUUCCUUUCCUUCCAAGACAAGUGAAUGACAGAUUUUGCCUUUACAAUAUAAAGUUAUGUGAAGACUUAUUAACUCAGGAAUCAAAGGUCUGCCAUAUUAUAGUAAGAGAAUUAUUGAAACAUUAGUAAAAUGGUGACCUAUGUUCAAAAGCGAGGCAAUUUUCUUGACCUUGCUGGCCUUUAGUUUCCUCAUCUACUAAACAUGAUUGAAACGUCUACAAGCAAGAACACAGUCCUGACUAUAUAACAAAUGUUAGUUUUAUAAAUUGUCUAUACAAGGGAAUUGAAGGGGCUAGGACAUUUAUUCAAUUAACUUGUCAUCCUUUAAUCUUUUAAUGUAACUACCACAUUGAAGCACCAUAUUUCUAUAAUUCUUUUCCUUUCACCAUUAAUUCUUCUAUAUUUUAUAUCUGUCUUUUUUUUUUUUUUUUUUU
Sapajus apella (tufted capuchin) is the source of this 4912-nucleotide long non-coding RNA. RefSeq lists it as uncharacterized. The record is from RefSeq and is a predicted model, not a curated record. NCBI's taxonomy places the organism in Eukaryota, Metazoa, Chordata, Mammalia, Primates, Cebidae. The transcript is spliced from 3 exons.